RNA transcript from Limulus polyphemus (Atlantic horseshoe crab), 1611 nucleotides. It is a transcript of the gene named PQ-loop repeat-containing protein 3-like, with no coding region annotated. The record is from RefSeq and is a predicted model, not a curated record. The transcript is spliced from 4 exons. Lineage: Eukaryota; Metazoa; Arthropoda; Merostomata; Xiphosura; Limulidae.
UGUAACAGUGUAAGUAUGCUCAAUAGGAUUUUUUUAAAUUCCUCCAAAAAUACAUCAAUUACAGAAACAUAAGUGUUGAGCUUAAAGAUUUGAAUGCUAGUUAUAUACAAAAAGAGUUGAAGAUACUAAAUAAAUGUCUACCACUUAUUUUUUGCUUUAUCAUCUUACUAAUUGUUAUUCCUUUACCAUCAAAUCAAUAUGUUUUUGCUGACUGGUUGCCUCCCUGUGGUCUGUGGUUUGAAAUUAGGGAUGGCUUCACACUAUCUGGACUGCGCACUGACAAAUGUGCCACGACAGGGCUAUAUAAUUGGAGGGACGAGAGCCUAUGCUUUGGCCAGUGAUAAAUACUCUUCUAUCAUAUAACCAUGCAUAACUAUGUGACUACUAAUUCAGGUUUAUACUUUAAUAACUUUGAUCAUGGAGUAGAUUUCAUGAUAAAACACUUAUAAAUAAGUUGAAAUACAUUACAUGUGAGCACUUAACAAUACAAAAGUAUAUGGCUGUAGUUAUAGGUUUCAUUAACAAAAAUCCAUUCACUUGACUUACCAAGUUGAAAAAUCUGCUUAUUUAUAUAGCCAUUGGUUAAUGAGUUAUCCAAAGAAAGUCAUGCAGUGAAGGGAAGUGUAGAACACCUGAUCCUUUAAGAAAUACAUAGACUGUACAGGCCUGAAAACUGACAAGAACAUCAAAAUAUGCUUAUAUUUACUCAUAUGUAGGUAUUAAUUCUUUAUUGUCUUUAUAGAUACAGCACCAUGGUUUCCUAUGCUUAUGCAAACAAAUAUCCUUUUACUGCUUUUAGCGAAUAUCCCUUCCUUGUUAUUCAAGAUUUUAUUCUGCUUCUAAUGAUUUUGCAUUACUCUAAAUCAUUUGGUGUUUCCUGGGUAAUCUAUUUUGUUUUAAUUGCUAUCAUUCAGUACUGCAUAGCUUUUGAACACUUGCCGAAGACGUUUGUGUCCGCAGUGGUGGUAUGUAUUUCACUUUGGGUUACUUAGUAGAAGCUUAUAUUUCAAUUUUCAUUGGUUACAUAAUAAUAAUUGUAUUAGUUGGAAAGUAUAUUGUGUCUUAUGUCAUAUUUAUCCUCAAAAGAAUUAUUAAAAGUUUCAAUCAAUCACUUUGCUCCAGAUUUUAAAACUUUUUAUCUUUUACUGUAGCUUCGUUAAAGGAUAUAACGAGAGUAGGAACAUGGAGCAUCUGACACGUACUUUCACGAGUGGUUUUGAUUUUCCAUUCUGAUGGUACACCACAUAAGUCCCAGUAUUAUUAUUCCACACCUUUGCUACAUCUGGAUCCAGUAAUGUUUGUGAUCUGAAAAAAUGUGUACCUCCAGGUUCUCCAGAACAUCUUUUAUAUUAUUCAUUCACCCUGUUGGUAGAUUUCCUCUAUAUUUUAAACUUGAUGUUGUUAAGAUUGUAUUACACAGCACGUGUAUCAGUCAUCUGUCUGUUCAAACAACCAUUUAUUUCUUAGUAUUGAGCUGUGUAUAUAUCCUAUAUUCAUUAUGAAGUCAAUUGGAGACCUGUUUUUUAUACCCUGGAUUUUAUGGUUGUAUUAUGUGGUUAAGUGUCAGGUUUCUUAAUGUUUGCUGGCUUUAAGACUUUGAAUCAGGUUUAG